RNAcentral lists this long non-coding RNA (650 nucleotides) under Phoenix dactylifera (date palm). RNAcentral's name for it is "long non-coding RNA (PDAC_LNC019980)". The record is from RNAcentral. Lineage: Eukaryota; Viridiplantae; Streptophyta; Magnoliopsida; Arecales; Arecaceae.
AUAUAUAAAUUUUAAAAAUUUAUCCAAACAGAAUAAUACAAAAUAGUUAACAAAACAAAUGAACAUUAUCCCUUUGUCUAGUUACUACCCAUCUCUCAACCUUUCUGACGAAUCCUACAAAUCCUAAAACUUAGGCUCAAUAUAAUUGUUUCUGUUACAAUCCCUAGUGAUCUCAAACCUGAGCUCUGAUACCACCAAAUCUAUCACGCCCCGAGCCCGAGGCGCGGCAGACGACGCACGCCCGCACGGCGAGCCGCGCAGGCGUGCAAGGCAUUGGAACAUAUCGGAGCAAAUACAGAUGUUCAAAAAUGACAUAAUUAUUUAAAUUGUUCAAAAGCAGUCUUACGAAGUUUAAAAAUAACAUUUGCUAACAUAAUUCAAAUGUCCAAACUAAACUAACUAAAAUGCCAAUAACUGAAAAAUCAUCGGAAAAUCUAACGCACUUCCCAAUCCCGUGCGAUCAAGCCUCUGGAUCUGAAAAAUAGAUGUUGCCCAGAGAUGGUCACCCAAGAGGGGGGUGAAUUGGGUGUUUUAAAAGCUUUUGACUAAUUAAAAAUAAAACACACGAAUAUAUGCACUAAAGUAAAGAAGGAGGAAUAAGAAAGGUCAAUCGCAAACACAAUGUUUUAUAGUGGUUCGGAGCUUCCACC